GAAUAAGUUUGCGGAAUUGGCUAGGUUUGUGCCAACCUAUGUAGAGACCGAUAGGCAGAAAGCAAAAAGGUUCCAACAAGGUCUGAAGCCUUGGAUUAGGAGCAAGUUAGCUAUUUUGCAAUUGGAGACUUAUGCGGCAGUGGUUGAGAAGGCAAUGAUUGCGGAGGCUGAAAAUGAGUUGUUUCAGAAGUCUAAAGAGGAUAAGAAGAGAAAGCCAGACAAUAGAGAAAGGCCAUCCCAUCAAGGGAGGUUCCAGAAGAAAGGGAAAUUUCAAGCAGGAAGGAGUUCCAAUUUUAAGAAGCAGACUAUAGGCAGUAGUGGACAAAGUGGUCGUUUUAUUCUGGGAAAUCAGGCCAAUCAGCAGAGGUCUUCUAUACCAGAAUGCCAGAUAUGUGGCAAGAGACAUGGAGGAGUGUGUAAUAAGCCGAACAUAGUGUGCUUUAAGUGCAACCAGAAAGGACAUUAUUCUAGGGAAUGCCAGAACCAAUCAGCAAUAAGAGAUCAGGCGAAUAAGAGCUCAACAAGUAAAGCUCCAGCUAUAGGAUAUGCAUGUUUCAAAUGCGGAAAGCAGGGACAUAUGGCUAGAGAUUGCAAAACAUCAGCUCCAGUUAGUAAUGCACUUAGAAUCAUGGGAACUGUUCCAGAAGUGAAUGAGCCUCCUAGGGCGAGAGUCUUUGAUAUGUCAGUGAAGGAUGCUAUUCAGGAUGCCGAUGUCGUGGCAGGUACGCUUAACGUAAACUCUUUAAAUGCCAAGGUGUUAAUUGAUUCAGGAGCCACUAGAUCAUUUAUUUCUCAAGCUUUUGUUGAUAAGUUGAAUUGUCCGGUUGAAUUGUUGAAUGAGGUUAUGAAUGUAGAGCUAGCUAAUCAGGAUCGUAUUUCCGUUAAUCAAGUUUGUCCUAAUUGUGAAGUUGAGAUUUUAGGAAGUAAAUUUUGCGCCGACUUGAUACCUUUCAAGUUGGGGGAAUUUGAUGUAAUCUUAGGGAUGGAUUGGUUGUCUAAACAUAGUGCGCAGAUAGAUUGUAAAAAUAAGAAAGUAAUAUUAAUGACACCAGACCACGAGGUAAUAACGUUUAGAGGACAAAAGCAAGUAAAGAAGUUUUUAACUAUGAUCCAAGCCAAGAGGAUGUUACGACAAGGAUGCGAAGCCUAUAUUGCUUAUGUAAUUGAUAAAAGUCAGGAACCGGUAAAACUUGAAAAUAUCCCUGUAGUGAAUGAAUUUCCAGACGUGUUUCCGGAUGAGUUACCAGGACUGCCUCCAGAUAGAGAGAUAGAAUUUGCAAUUGACUUAGCACCUGGAGCGGAGCCGGUAUCCAAAGCCCCGUAUAAGAUGCAACCUGUAGAGAUGAAAGAAUUGGCCAAAUGGAGUUGAACUUUUUAGAGCUGAAACAAGGAAAUAUGUCUGUGGUUGAAUAUGAGAAUAAGUUUGCGGAAUUGGCUAGGUUUGUGCCAACCUAUGUAGAGACUGAUAGGCAGAAAGCAAAAAGGUUCCAACAAGGUCUGAAGCCUUGGAUUAGGAGCAAGUUAGCUAUUUUGCAAUUGGAGACUUAUGCAGCAGUGGUUGAGAAGGCAAUGAUUGCGGAGGCUGAAAAUGAGUUGUUUCAGAAGUCUAAAGAGGAUAAGAAGAGAAAGCCAGACAAU
This 1638-nucleotide long non-coding RNA is filed under the name Daucus carota (carrot). RNAcentral's name for it is "long non-coding RNA (DCAR_LNC002191)". Lineage: Eukaryota; Viridiplantae; Streptophyta; Magnoliopsida; Apiales; Apiaceae. The record is from RNAcentral.